This 491-nucleotide ribosomal RNA is filed under the name uncultured bacterium. RNAcentral's name for it is "partial 16S ribosomal RNA". It matches the Rfam family "Bacterial small subunit ribosomal RNA", at positions 29 to 506 of the family's 1533-position model. The record is from RNAcentral.
AGUGAACGCUGGCGGUAGGCCUAACACAUGCAAGUCGAACGGCAGCACAGUAAGAGCUUGCUCUUACGGGUGGCGAGUGGCGGACGGGUGAGGAAUACAUCGGAAUCUACUUUUUCGUGGGGGAUAACGUAGGGAAACUUACGCUAAUACCGCAUACGACCUACGGGUGAAAGCAGGGGAUCUUCGGACCUUGCGCGAUUGAAUGAGCCGAUGUCGGAUUAGCUAGUUGGCGGGGUAAAGGCCCACCAAGGCGACGAUCCGUAGCUGGUCUGAGAGGAUGAGCAGCCAAACUGGAAAUGAGACACGGUCCAGACUCCUACGGGAGGCAGCAGUGGGGAAUAUUGGACAAUGGGCGAAAGCCUGAUCAAGCCAUACCGCGUGGGUGAAGAAGGCCUUCGGGUUGUAAAGCCCUUUUGUUGGGAAAGAAAGGCAGCAGGUUAAUACCCCGCUGUUCUGACGGUACCAAAAGAAUAAGCACCGGCUAACUUCGU